GCCGGAGUGGUGGAAUGGCAGACACGCAGGUUUUAGGUACCUGUGCCUCAGGGCGUGCGGGUUCGACUCCCGCCUUCGGCA
RNAcentral lists this transfer RNA (81 nucleotides) under Nocardioides sp. BGMRC 2183. RNAcentral's name for it is "tRNA-Leu". It matches the Rfam family "tRNA". Rfam says of the family: Transfer RNA (tRNA) molecules are approximately 80 nucleotides in length. Their secondary structure includes four short double-helical elements and three loops (D, anti-codon, and T loops). The record is from RNAcentral. Lineage: Bacteria; Bacillati; Actinomycetota; Actinomycetes; Propionibacteriales; Nocardioidaceae.